This is a non-coding RNA of Pelobates cultripes (western spadefoot toad), 296 nucleotides long. The record is from the annotation of a GenBank genome assembly. NCBI's taxonomy places the organism in Eukaryota, Metazoa, Chordata, Amphibia, Anura, Pelobatidae.
UUAAGUGUUGGCACUUUGGGAAGGCCCUGUAGUGGGAUUUCCAUAGCUCUCCCAGUUCCCUGAUAACCAUGGUUCCCAGACCUUUUCGUAUCGUGUCCUGGUGUCUCUCACUAGUGCGGUAAGGUGGUCCAUGACCUGGAUAUCUUUGAUUUUGUGGAGUACAGUGUUGAUCUGUGGGAUUGUAGUUUGGAGCCAUGUCUGCGCCAUGGUGAGUCUGGCCGCCAGUGUGAUUUUGUGUAGGAGUUUCUGGUCCUUUUUAGGCCAGUCUUCUAGUGUUCUGGAGAGCAGAAAAACCC